UGCCUGGAGGGUUUCACGACUAGACUCCUAGG
RNAcentral lists this non-coding RNA (32 nucleotides) under Homo sapiens (human). Lineage: Eukaryota; Metazoa; Chordata; Mammalia; Primates; Hominidae. The record is from RNAcentral.